Long non-coding RNA from Rhipicephalus microplus (southern cattle tick), 171 nucleotides. The record is from RefSeq and is a predicted model, not a curated record. Lineage: Eukaryota; Metazoa; Arthropoda; Arachnida; Ixodida; Ixodidae.
UUUGACAAAAUGAGCCUUCUGCUUGGCGACCGCCCGAUGGUGCAAGCAAGAGAUUACGGCGUUGACACCGCCGCCGAAGACGAGGACAUCGUUCUGUUAUGCGAUGGCAGCGAAGAGGAAGGAGAUGCGUCCGACGAUCUAGAAACCUCUGCAACAUCUACGCCAUCGCAA